UAGGAAUUUUGCGCAAUGGGGGAAACCCUGACGCAGCAACGCCGCGUGAAGGAUGAAGGCUUUCGGGUCGUAAACUUCUUUUAGCAGGGAAGAAAAAAAUGACGGUAUCUGCAGAAAAAGCACCGGCUAACUCUGUGCCAGCAGCCGCGGUAAUACAGAGGGUGCAAGCGUUAUUCGGAAUCACUGGGCGUAAAGAGCUCGUAGGCGGUUAAUUAAGUCGAAUGUGAAAGCCCUGGGCUCAAUCCAGGAAGUGCAUUCGAUACUGAUUGACUGGAGUGCAGGAGAGGAAAGCGGAAUUCCAGGUGUAGAGGUGAAAUUCGUAGAUAUCUGGAGGAACAACAGAAGCGAAGGCGGCUUUCUGGACUGUCACUGACGCUGAGGAGCGAAAGCGUGGGGAGCAAAC
RNAcentral lists this ribosomal RNA (403 nucleotides) under uncultured bacterium. RNAcentral describes it as "bacterial SSU rRNA". It matches the Rfam family "Bacterial small subunit ribosomal RNA", at positions 356 to 773 of the family's 1533-position model. The record is from RNAcentral.